RNAcentral lists this ribosomal RNA (392 nucleotides) under uncultured eukaryote. RNAcentral's name for it is "SSU rRNA". It matches the Rfam family "Eukaryotic small subunit ribosomal RNA", at positions 651 to 1048 of the family's 1831-position model. The record is from RNAcentral.
CCUGCCGGUCCGCCGUUUCGGUGUGCACUGGCCGGGCCCACCUUGUUGCCGGGGACGAGCUCCUGGGCUUUAUUGUCCGGGACUCGGAGUCGGCGAGGUUACUUUGAGUAAAUUAGAGUGUUCAAAGCAGGCCACCGCUCUGAAUACAUUAGCAUGGAAUAACACGAUAGGACUCUGGCCUAUCUUGUUGGUCUGUAGGACCGGAGUAAUGAUUAAGAGGGACAGUCGGGGGCAUUCGUAUUUCAUUGUCAGAGGUGAAAUUCUUGGAUUUAUGAAAGACGAACUACUGCGAAAGCAUUUGCCAAGGAUGUUUUCAUUAAUCAAGAACGAAAGUUGGGGGCUCGAAGACGAUUAGACACCGUCCUAGUCUCAACCAUAAACGAUGCCGACUA